UACGUAGGGGGCGAGCGUUGUCCGGAAUUACUGGGCGUAAAGGGUUCGCAGGCGGCAUGGCAAGUCUGAUGUAAAAGGCGAAAGCUCAACUUUCGUAAGCCUCGGAAACUGUCAAGCUUGAGUGUAGGAGAGGUAAGUGGAAUUCCUGGUGUAGCGGUGAAAUGCGUAGAUAUUAGGAAGAACACCGGUGGCGAAGGCGGCUUGCUGGACGUCAACUGACGCUGAGGCUCGAAAGCGUGGGUAGCAAACAGG
RNAcentral lists this ribosomal RNA (252 nucleotides) under uncultured bacterium. RNAcentral describes it as "partial 16S ribosomal RNA". It matches the Rfam family "Bacterial small subunit ribosomal RNA", at positions 524 to 776 of the family's 1533-position model. The record is from RNAcentral.